RNAcentral lists this ribosomal RNA (468 nucleotides) under uncultured bacterium. Its description in RNAcentral is "partial 16S ribosomal RNA". It matches the Rfam family "Bacterial small subunit ribosomal RNA", at positions 28 to 507 of the family's 1533-position model. The record is from RNAcentral.
GACGAACGCUGGCGGCGUGCUUAACACAUGCAAGUCGAACGGAAAGGCCCUGCUUUUGUGGGGUGCUCGAGUGGCGAACGGGUGAGUAACACGUGAGUAACCUGCCCUUGACUUUGGGAUAACUUCAGGAAACUGGGGCUAAUACCGGAUAGGAGCUCCUGCUGCAUGGUGGGGGUUGGAAAGUUUCGGCGGUUGGGGAUGGACUCGCGGCUUAUCAGCUUGUUGGUGGGGUAGUGGCUUACGAAGGCUUUGAAGGGUAGCCGGCCUGGGAGGGUGACCGGGCACAGUGGGACUGAGAGACGGCCCAGACUCCUACGGUAGGCAGCAGUGGGGAAUAUUGCACAAUGGGCGGAAGCCUGAUGCAGCAACGCCGCGUGCGGGAUGACGGCCUUCGGGUUGUAAACCGCUUUCGCCUGUGACGAAGCGUGAGUGACGGUAAUGGGUAAAGAAGCACCGGCUAACUACGUG